UGCCCAGGCGCGAAAACUUUGCAAUGCGGGAAACCGUGACAAGGGAACUCUGAGUGCCCGUUAAAUCGGGCUGUCCAUCGGUUUAAAUAACCGGUGAAGAAAGGGCCGGGCAAGACCGGUGCCAGCCGCCGCGGUAAUACCGGCGGCUCGAGUGGUGGCCACUAUUACUGGGCUUAAAGCGUUCGUAGCUGGUUUGUUAAGUCUCUGGGGAAAUCUUCCGGCUUAACCGGAAGGCGUCUCAGGGAUACUGGCAGACUAGGGACCGGGAGAGGUGAGAGGUACUCCAGGGGUAGGAGUGAAAUCCUGUAAUCCUUGGGGGACCACCUGUGGCGAAGGCGUCUCACCAGAACGGCUCCGACAGUGAGGGACGAAAGCUGGGGGAGCAAACCGGAUUAGAUACCCGGGUAGUCCCAGCUGUAAACGAUGCGCGUUAGGUGUAUCGGUGACCACGAGUCACCGAGGUGCCGAAGAGAAAUCGUGAAACGUGCCGCCUGGGAAGUACGGUCGCAAGGCUGAAACUUAAAGGAAUUGGCGGGGGAGCAC
This 543-nucleotide ribosomal RNA is filed under the name uncultured archaeon. RNAcentral's name for it is "bacterial SSU rRNA". It matches the Rfam family "Archaeal small subunit ribosomal RNA", at positions 331 to 879 of the family's 1478-position model. The record is from RNAcentral.